This 303-nucleotide unclassified non-coding RNA is filed under the name plant metagenome. RNAcentral describes it as "partial contains 5.8S ribosomal RNA, internal transcribed spacer 2, and large subunit ribosomal RNA". The stretch from base 1 to 105 matches the Rfam family "5.8S ribosomal RNA", at positions 50 to 154 of the family's 154-position model. The record is from RNAcentral.
GAAAUGCGAUAAGUAGUGUGAAUUGCAGAAUUCAGUGAAUCAUCGAAUCUUUGAACGCACAUUGCGCCCCUUGGUAUUCCAUGGGGCAUGCCUGUUCGAGCGUCAUUUGUACCUUCAAGCUUUGCUUGGUGUUGGGUGUUUGUCUCGCCUCUGCGUGUAGACUCGCCUCAAAACAAUUGGCAGCCGGCGUAUUGAUUUCGGAGCGCAGUACAUCUCGCGCUUUGCACUCAUAACGACGACGUCCAAAAGUACAUUUUUACACUCUUGACCUCGGAUCAGGUAGGGAUACCCGCUGAACUUAAG